RNAcentral lists this ribosomal RNA (429 nucleotides) under Actinomycetes bacterium. Its description in RNAcentral is "Actinobacteria bacterium partial 16S ribosomal RNA". It matches the Rfam family "Bacterial small subunit ribosomal RNA", at positions 355 to 776 of the family's 1533-position model. The record is from RNAcentral. Lineage: Bacteria; Bacillati; Actinomycetota; Actinomycetes.
UAGGGAAUCUUCCGCAAUGGGCGAAAGCCUGACGGAGCAACGCCGCGUGAGUGAUGAAGGUCUUCGGAUCGUAAAACUCUGUUAUUAGGGAAGAACAAAUGUGUAAGUAACUAUGCACGUCUUGACGGUACCUAAUCAGAAAGCCACGGCUAACUACGUGCCAGCAGCCGCGGUAAUACGUAGGUGGCAAGCGUUAUCCGGAAUUAUUGGGCGUAAAGCGCGCGUAGGCGGUUUUUUAAGUCUGAUGUGAAAGCCCACGGCUCAACCGUGGAGGGUCAUUGGAAACUGGAAAACUUGAGUGCAGAAGAGGGAAGUGGAAUUCCAUGUGUAGCGGUGAAAUGCGCAGAGAUAUGGAGGAACACCAGUGGCGAAGGCGACUUUCUGGUCUGUAACUGACGCUGAUGUGCGAAAGCGUGGGGAUCAAACAGG